CCAGAGUCCUACGGGAGGCAGCAGUGGGGAAUCUUCCGCAAUGGACGAAAGUCUGACGGAGCAACGCCGCGUGAGUGAUGACGGCCUUCGGGUUGUAAAGCUCUGUUAAUCGGGACGAAAGGCCUUCUUGCGAAUAGUGAGGAGGAUUGACGGUACCGGAAUAGAAAGCCACGGCUAACUACGUGCCAGCAGCCGCGGUAAUACGUAGGUGGCAAGCGUUGUCCGGAAUUAUUGGGCGUAAAGCGCGCGCAGGCGGAUCAGUCAGUCUGUCUUAAAAGUUCGGGGCUUAACCCCGUGAUGGGAUGGAAACUGCUGAUCUAGAGUAUCGGAGAGGAAAGUGGAAUUCCUAGUGUAGCGGUGAAAUGCGUAGAUAUUAGGAAGAACACCAGUGGCGAAGGCGACUUUCUGGACGAAAACUGACGCUGAGGCGCGAAAGCCAGGGGAGCGAACGGGAUUAGAUACCCCGGUAGUCCUGGCCGUAAACGAUGGGUACUAGGUGUAGGAGGUAUCGACCCCUUCUGUGCCGGAGUUAACGCAAUAAGUACCCCGCCUGGGGAGUACGACCGCAAGGUUGAAACUCAAAGGAAUUGACGGGGGCCCGCACAAG
RNAcentral lists this ribosomal RNA (607 nucleotides) under uncultured bacterium. RNAcentral's name for it is "bacterial SSU rRNA". It matches the Rfam family "Bacterial small subunit ribosomal RNA", at positions 331 to 929 of the family's 1533-position model. The record is from RNAcentral.